CCUACGGGUGGCUGCAGUGAGGAAUAUUGGUCAAUGGCCGGAAGGCUGAACCAGCCAUGCCGCGUGAAGGUCAGUGCCCUAUGGGCGUUAAACUUCUUUUGUUCAGGAGCAAUAAUGGUCACGUUUGGCCAGACGACAGUACCGUACGAAUAAGCAUCGGCUAACUCCGUGCCAGCAGCCGCGGUAAUACGGGGGAUGCAAGCGUUAUCCGGAUUUAUUUGGUUUAAAGGGUGCGUAGGCUGGGUGGUAAGUCAGCUGGCAAAUGCCUCCGCUCAACGGGGUGAAGUGCCAUUGAUACUGGCUGGCUUGAAUGCGGAUGCGGUGGGAGGAAUGUGUGGUGUAGCGGUGAAAUGCAUAGAUAUCACACAGAACACCGAUUGCGAAGGCAUCUCACGAAUCUGCGAUUGACGCUGAUGCACGAAAGCGUGGGUAUCAAACAGGAUUAGAUACCCUUGUAGUC
RNAcentral lists this ribosomal RNA (460 nucleotides) under uncultured bacterium. Its description in RNAcentral is "partial 16S ribosomal RNA". It matches the Rfam family "Bacterial small subunit ribosomal RNA", at positions 338 to 795 of the family's 1533-position model. The record is from RNAcentral.